UGGGUUGAUAGGCCGGAGGUGGAAGCACAGCAAUGUGUGUAGCCGACCGGUACUAAUAGGCCGAGGGCUUGUUACCUACA
Molecule: ribosomal RNA, 80 nt
Filed under: Aeromicrobium sp. IC_218
Lineage: Bacteria; Bacillati; Actinomycetota; Actinomycetes; Propionibacteriales; Nocardioidaceae
Description: partial 23S ribosomal RNA
Rfam family: Bacterial large subunit ribosomal RNA
Source: RNAcentral